This 313-nucleotide ribosomal RNA is filed under the name uncultured bacterium. Its description in RNAcentral is "bacterial SSU rRNA". It matches the Rfam family "Bacterial small subunit ribosomal RNA", at positions 28 to 334 of the family's 1533-position model. The record is from RNAcentral.
GACGAACGCUGGCGGCGCGCCUAACACAUGCAAGUCGAACGGAGUUUGAGAGAGCUUGCUUUUUCAAACUUAGUGGCGAACGGGUGAGUAACGCGUGAGUAACCUGCCCUGGAGUGGGGGACAACAGUUGGAAACGACUGCUAAUACCGCAUAAGCCCACGACCCGGCAUCGGGUUGAGGGAAAAGGAGUGAUCCGCUUUGAGAUGGCCUCGCGUCCGAUUAGCUAGUUGGUGAGGUAACGGCCCACCAAGCCUUCGAUGGAUAGGGGUUCUGAGAGGAAGGUCCCCCACAUUGGAACUGAGACACGGUCCAA